Molecule: ribosomal RNA, 234 nt
Filed under: uncultured bacterium
Lineage: Bacteria
Description: partial 16S ribosomal RNA
Rfam family: Bacterial small subunit ribosomal RNA
Source: RNAcentral
CGACGUAAAUAAUCUACCCUGAUGUCUGGGAUAACCAGCCGAAAGGCUGACUAAUACCGGCUAUAUGAUUUUCUGUAGGGAGAAUCAGGAAAGGUGGCCUCUUCUUGAAAGCUAUCGCAUUGGGAUGAGUUUGCGUACCAUUAGCUAGUUGGUGGGGUAAUGGCCCACCAAGGCUACGAUGGUUAGCGGGUCUGAGAGGAUGAUCCGUCACACUGGCACUGGAACACGGGCCAG